RNAcentral lists this ribosomal RNA (323 nucleotides) under uncultured Chloroflexota bacterium. RNAcentral's name for it is "bacterial SSU rRNA". It matches the Rfam family "Bacterial small subunit ribosomal RNA", at positions 28 to 351 of the family's 1533-position model. The record is from RNAcentral. Lineage: Bacteria; Bacillati; Chloroflexota.
GAUGAACGCUGGCGGCGUGCCUAAUACAUGCAAGUCGAACGGAGUAUGUAGCAAUAUGUACUCAGUGGCGAACGGGCGAGUAACGCGUUGGUGACCUGCCCCGAAGAGAGGGAUAACAGUUCGAAAGGAUUGCUAAUACCCCAUGUGGUCACAGGGAUUAGAUGCCUUGUGACUAAACGGAGAAUUUCGCUUCGGGAGGGACCUGCGUCCCAUCAGCUGGUUGGUAGGGUAACGGCCUACCAAGGCUAUGACGGGUAGGGGACCUGAGAGGGUGGACCCCCGCACUGGCACUGAAACACGGGCCAGACACCUACGGGUGGCUG